UAGGGAAUCUUCGGCAAUGGACGAAAGUCUGACCGAGCAACGCCGCGUGAGUGAAGAAGGUUUUCGGAUCGUAAAACUCUGUUGUUAGAGAAGAACAAGGACGUUAGUAACUGAACGUCCCCUGACGGUAUCUAACCAGAAAGCCACGGCUAACUACGUGCCAGCAGCCGCGGUAAUACGUAGGUGGCAAGCGUUGUCCGGAUUUAUUGGGCGUAAAGCGAGCGCAGGCGGUUUCUUAAGUCUGAUGUGAAAGCCCCCGGCUCAACCGGGGAGGGUCAUUGGAAACUGGGAGACUUGAGUGCAGAAGAGGAGAGUGGAAUUCCAUGUUUAGCGGUGAAUUGCGUAGAUAUAUGGAGGAACACCAGUGGCGAAGGCGGCUCUCUGGUCUGUAACUGACGCUGAGGCUCGAAAGCGUGGGGAGCAAACAGG
RNAcentral lists this ribosomal RNA (429 nucleotides) under Gemmatimonadota bacterium. RNAcentral describes it as "Gemmatimonadetes bacterium partial 16S ribosomal RNA". It matches the Rfam family "Bacterial small subunit ribosomal RNA", at positions 355 to 776 of the family's 1533-position model. The record is from RNAcentral. Lineage: Bacteria; Pseudomonadati; Gemmatimonadota.